This 502-nucleotide ribosomal RNA is filed under the name uncultured Glomus. RNAcentral describes it as "SSU rRNA". It matches the Rfam family "Eukaryotic small subunit ribosomal RNA", at positions 569 to 1074 of the family's 1831-position model. The record is from RNAcentral. Lineage: Eukaryota; Fungi; Glomeromycota; Glomeromycetes; Glomerales; Glomeraceae.
AGCAGCCGCGGUAAUUCCAGCUCCAAUAGCGUAUAUUAAAGUUGUUGCAGUUAAAAAGCUCGUAGUUGAAUUUCGGGAUCAGUUGAUCGGUCGUGCCUCGGUACGUACUGGUCAAAUUGAUUCCUACCUUCUGACGAACCACGAUGUCAUUAAUUUGGUGUCGUGGGAAAUCAGGACUGUUACUUUGAAAAAUUAGAGUGUUUAAAGCAGGCUCGCGCUUGAAUACAUUAGCAUGGAAUAAUGAAAUAGGACGUUUGAUUCUACUUUGUUGGUUUCUAGGAUCGACGUAAUGAUUAAUAGGGAUAGUUGGGGGCAUUAGUAUUCAAUUGUCAGAGGUGAAAUUCUUGGAUUUAUUGAAGACUAACUACUGCGAAAGCAUUUGCCAAGGAUGUUUUCAUUAAUCAAGAACGAAAGUUAGGGGAUCGAAGACGAUCAGAUACCGUCGUAGUCUUAACCAUAAACUAUACCGACUUAGGGAUCGGAUGAUGUUAAUUUUUAAUGA